This 22-nucleotide non-coding RNA is filed under the name Arabidopsis thaliana (thale cress). The record is from RNAcentral. Lineage: Eukaryota; Viridiplantae; Streptophyta; Magnoliopsida; Brassicales; Brassicaceae.
GGUCGCCGCAUCAAGUCCAGGA